This 492-nucleotide ribosomal RNA is filed under the name uncultured bacterium. Its description in RNAcentral is "partial 16S ribosomal RNA". It matches the Rfam family "Bacterial small subunit ribosomal RNA", at positions 29 to 507 of the family's 1533-position model. The record is from RNAcentral.
AGUGAACGCUGGCGGUAGGCCUAACACAUGCAAGUCGAACGGCAGCACAGUAAGAGCUUGCUCUUACGGGUGGCGAGUGGCGGACGGGUGGGGAAUACAUCGGAAUCUACCUUUUCGUGGGGGAUAACGUAGGGAAACUUACGCUAAUACCGCAUACGACCUACGGGUGAAAGCAGGGGAUCUUCGGACCUUGCGCGAUUGAAUGAGCCGAUGUCGGAUUAGCUAGUUGGCAGGGUAAAGGCCCACCAAGGCGACGAUCCGUAGCUGGUCUGAGAGGAUGAUCAGCCACACUGGAACUUAGACACGGUCCAGACUCCUACGGGAGGCAGCAGUGGGGAAUAUUGGACAAUGGGCGCAAGCCUGAUCCAGCCAUACCGCGUGGGUGAAGAAGGCCUUCGGGUUGUAAAGCCCUUUUGUUGGGAAAGAAAAGCAGCAGGUUAAUACCCCGCUGUUCUGACGGUACCCAAAGAAUAAGCACCGGCUAACUUCGUG